This 265-nucleotide ribosomal RNA is filed under the name uncultured bacterium. RNAcentral describes it as "partial 16S ribosomal RNA". It matches the Rfam family "Bacterial small subunit ribosomal RNA", at positions 88 to 354 of the family's 1533-position model. The record is from RNAcentral.
CGUUUUAGUGGCGGACGGGUGAGUAACGCGUGGGUAACCUGCCUCACACUGGGGGAUAACACUUAGAAAUAGGUGCUAAUACCGCAUAAGCGCACGGGACUGCAUGGUCUUGUGUGAAAAACUCCGGUGGUGUGAGAUGGACCCGCGUCUGAUUAGCUGGUUGGCGGGGUAACGCCCACCAAGGCGACGAUCAGUAGCCGGCCUGAGAGGGUGGACGGCCACAUUGGGACUGAGACACGGCCCAAACUCCUACGGAAGGCAGCAG